UCCUUGGAAAAUCUUAUCUGAUUCAGGAUCAAUUUAUCGGUUACACUCCCCUAUCACCAGUGAUUCUUUGUGAACUGACAUUCUGAAAAAGGGCAAGAACAUUAAAGAUAAAGGGAAACUAUAAACAAAAGAAAUUAUCAACAAAAAUAGAUUUACAGACGUCAACAAAGCCUAAAUGGUCAGACAUCUUGGUUUUCAUGAUCAUCAUUCAACAGGUCAAUACUGAACAGCAAACUUAAAGUUGAUAUUUUUCUACAUAGUGUGACUUUUUUAUUAAUUUGAAAUGGAAUGUGUUUUUUUUUCCUACAUAAGAAAGAGGAAAUUUCAACAUAAUGAC
Mytilus californianus (California mussel) is the source of this 337-nucleotide long non-coding RNA. RefSeq lists it as uncharacterized. The transcript has 3 exons. NCBI's taxonomy places the organism in Eukaryota, Metazoa, Mollusca, Bivalvia, Mytilida, Mytilidae. The record is from RefSeq and is a predicted model, not a curated record.